RNAcentral lists this ribosomal RNA (460 nucleotides) under uncultured bacterium. RNAcentral describes it as "partial 16S ribosomal RNA". It matches the Rfam family "Bacterial small subunit ribosomal RNA", at positions 338 to 795 of the family's 1533-position model. The record is from RNAcentral.
CCUACGGGGGGCAGCAGUGAGGAAUAUUGGUCAAUGGCCGUAAGGCUGAACCAGCCAAGUCGCGUGAAGGAAGAAGGAUCUAUGGUUUGUAAACUUCUUUUAUAAAGGAAUAAAACGAGGCACGUGUGCCUUUUUGCAUGUACUUUAUGCAUAAGGAUCGGCUAACUCCGUGCCAGCAGCCGCGGUAAUACGGAGGAUCCGAGCGUUAUCCGGAUUUAUUGGGUUUAAAGGGAGCGUAGAUGGGUUGUUAAGUCAGUUGUGAAAGUUUGCGGAGCAACCGUAAAAUUGCAAUUGAUACUGGCAGUCUUGUGUACAGUUGUGGUAGGCGGAAUUCGUGGUGUAGCGGUGAAAUGCUUAGAUAUCACGAAGAACCCCGAUUGCGAAGGCAGCUUACUAAACUGUGACUGACAUUGAUGCUCGAAAGUGUGGGUAUCAAACAGGAUUAGAUACCCGGGUAGUC